UUUUAAUCACCUUUGUUUUAAUUCUAAAUUAAUUGGCAAUUGCAAUCAAGAUGUAAUUUUUUAUAGAGUCACAAUUCACAAGAACUUGACAUGACUGUCUUCUUAAUAGAUCCACUAGACACACCAAUUGAUCCUUUUGGUAUUUUUCCAAAGCCAUGCUAUUUAUCUUUGAAAAAUAACAACUAUUCUUAGCACUAGCCCUUGGUGUCUUUAUUGGGGAGUCUUACUUUUUUGCUCUAUUUCUUCAUCAAUUUGGUGGCCCUCAAGAUUAUAAAUCUAUUAUAAUUUAUUGCUACUUGAACUUUGAUAUUUUUGACAAUCUUUUAACUGAUAGUUUAUUUCUUGACAAUAAAAAUAUAAUCCCUUUUGUCCCAAUAUUUGUCAACUUUGUGGUGUUAAUGGUCCUUGCAAAGCAUUAAUUUCCAUCACUGUUGGUUGUUACGCCACAGAUUGGCUAGUGGCAUAAGAUUCAAAGCUACAGAUCGUAUUCCAUAAUUUUUUUAAAUCUAUAGCAUUAAUCCAUUCUAAUAUCCUAAUUGCCUCCUCAAAUAUUUAUGGAUCUCUUAAUUCUACCUCUUAUUGGACUACAGAUUUCAACUCUCAUACAAACCAAUCCAUCAUCUUUGCUUUUGAGUUGUUACCAAUUUGGAGACAUAAGAACUUAAAUUGAGAAACAUAAUCUUGUACUAAUCUAGAUUGUGUAAG
Molecule: long non-coding RNA, 705 nt
Filed under: Physcomitrium patens
Lineage: Eukaryota; Viridiplantae; Streptophyta; Bryopsida; Funariales; Funariaceae
Description: long non-coding RNA (PPAT_LNC002170)
Source: RNAcentral